Molecule: long non-coding RNA, 308 nt
Filed under: Theobroma cacao (cacao)
Lineage: Eukaryota; Viridiplantae; Streptophyta; Magnoliopsida; Malvales; Malvaceae
Description: long non-coding RNA (TCAC_LNC004707)
Source: RNAcentral
GAAUGAUGACCCUACUGCAAAUGAAUCUAAGUGAUGACUGGCUGAGUCAAGCAUCAGCUUCCAUGCAGCUAGAUUUUCGCAACAAGAACUGGAUUUGAAAUAUCAGUGAUCAAAUAGAGGUUUCUAUACCUAUAAGAUAUAUUUAAGACGUUUCUACACCUAUCAGAUAUAUUUAAGAGGUUUCUACAUCUAUUAGAUAUAUUUCUUCUAGUAAACUUUGACCAUUAUUUCGUUCGUUGGGUGUGUUGUCAUGCCAAGGCAGUGGAGAGUUGAAGCUGAAACUCGUCCCCUGUCGAUUCAUUUAUCGU